GAGUUGGUGAUGGACAGGGAAGCCUGGAGUGCUGCGGUUCAUGGGGUCGCAAAGAGUCAGACACGACUGAGCAACUGAUCUCUCUCUCUUUGAUCUCUCCCCAAAAUAAUUGGAAUAAUCCUCCUACUACUGCCUAUGAAUUUACCCAAACCAUUAAAAACUAAGCAUCCCGUAUUUCAGGGUCUCUCACCUUCUGAGAUGGCCCCACUCUGUGGAGUGUGUGUCUCCCUAAAUAAACCUGCUUUCCCAUUUAGGUCUUAGGGCAGAGCCUGACUGCUUGCAUCCUUCACAAAUGUUCUGUGUUAAUAAAUCUACUUCUUGCCUAUAGCUUUGCUUCUUGCUGAAUUCCUUCUGUGCUGAUACUAAAGAACCUGAGCUUCAUUAAAUCCUGAGACCAGGUGUGCGACUUCAGCAGGGAAACUGGGUUCAAGUCCCAUCUGCAGUGUAAUUGGGUUUGAGUCACAGUCUGAGAUGUGGGGUUUCACCUAGAAGAGGAUCAGUUGUUUAUUUUGACUGUGGAGUCAUGAAGUGUUUAGUUUGGACAUUCUUACAUUGAAUUGUUGAGGCUCUCCAAAUGGAGAUGUAUGUGUUGCUAGUAUAUAUCUAUAUAUGGGCCUGGAGUUCAGAGAGAGGGGACUGAGCUGCUGAUAGAAGUUAUUAGCAUUUGUAGAUAGUAAUUGAAGUUAAUAGGAGUGGAUGAGGCCACCCAGAAGGAGAAUGCUGUACUGAUAAAGAUUUUCAAAGGCGGGUGGGAAAGACUUGUAUCAGGGUAGAAGGGACUGUCAUUACUGUAUUUGAAAAACCAUAAUCAAUCAGUAUUUGCUGUUUGAAUAUAUAUUGUUUGAAGCUAGUUUCCUUUUUUUUUCCUUCUGAAAAUAAAAAUCUUAGAAAAUAAAACCCAAUAAAAUCUUGAUAAGAGGUUUUCAGUUCUGUGGGGGGGGGGUGCGUCAGAGUAUUUUUCCCGUUGCACAUGUUUGCAUUUCAAGGGGCCUGGGGGCAAGUGAGAUUUUUAAAUCAGAAGAAAUGGGUUUAAAAGCAAAUGAGACUGGGGAGAAAAAGGAUGUGAGCCUGAGAAGCACAAAGGACCUGAGAAGAUUACCAGUGAGGCCAGUUAAAUGUUUUAAAAUAUUAUGACUGCUUGAGAAAUGAGGAUCAGAAGCUAGAUUUGGAGAAUGGCUCUGUUAUGGGAGAGAAAGAACUGAACUGAAAAGUGCAAAUAGAGAAACAGAAAACAAACCCAUUUUGUUGGUUAGUUACUGUCCCUAUUGAAGCCAUGCUAGUCCGUUUUCACCAUAGGAUUUUAUAAAUUUUCAGUGAUUGGAUUUGCAUAGGGCUCUAUGGAAGUCUGACUCCAGGUUUUCACUGGUACUCUGUUUUAAUAGUUUAAUCAUUUAAAUAUUAUCAUCACCCCACUGAGGAAAAAGAGACGUUUUGUUUUUGGCAGAUCCAGAGAAUGAUACAGUGAGAGAAGGUACUUAUUGACUAAAACUACAGUUUUGGAUUAUUUGUGGAUUUAUCCCUGUCAUUUUUCUUUUAACUCAUAAUAGCCCUAGAAGACCAAGAAUCUCCUUUAUAUUAAAAAUGAAUUAUUUGUUUAGUUGUUCAGUAAUAUUACAAGAGGAGCUGUUUAAAUACUUCUUAUUUCAACCAUUAUAGAAACUGUCACUUGGAAAGUACAGAGAUUAGCAGUUAAUUCUCUAGUUGUGGUGUCAGUUUUCCUGCAUAGCAUCUUCUCCUGUGCAUAAAAGUAAAUUAGUUGCCUGUCAUUUGAAUUUGAACGUGGCUGGCUGAUAAUGAAUUCCAGUUGGGGUGGUGUGGAAAGUUCCCAUGUACACGGCACUAGUUGUAUGAUCUCUUCCUCCCUCUCCCUCACAAAGACGGGCUAAGUACUGGUAAAUGACUUGUGAACAUGGUGUUACUGGAGAUAACAUAAACUCUGGAUACAUACUGCUGCUGCUGCUAAGUCUCUUCAGUCGUGUCCGACUCUGUGCGACCUCGUAGACGGCAGCCCACCAGUCUCCUCCAUCUGUGGGAUUCUCCAGGCAAGAGUACUGGAGUGGGGUGCUACUAUGCCAGAAUUAUUUUUAGGAUUUUAUGGUAUUUAUUUUUUAAACCCAAGAGAAUCAAGAAGUGUUUCCAAGGUAGACUGGAAGGCUAUUAGUAAAUGGAUCAUGACCGUGUGCACAGGGUUGUUAUUCCAAACUGCCUGGGAAACUCGUGUAGCCAUUUUAUCUUACUGUGGAACUGAUUCUUUCAUUUGAGUUGUGAAUUUCACAUACCUUAGAUUCGUAUUCCUUAUCUCUUGGGUUUUAUUUUGCCUUAAUUCUUUUCUUAUAAUUCUUAGUUCUGUGGGAGUCUUGUGAAGUGAAAUUUGGGUGAAUAGUGUUAAUCAUCUUGCUUGGAUUUGCCAGCUGAAAACUCUUGACUUCAGUUUAUGCUAUGCAUUAUGGAGAGGAUACUGUGGUUUUUUCCAUGUAUGAUAAGUAGUUUGUGGAUUAGUCUGUCUGUUGCUUGAGUAU
Long non-coding RNA from Bubalus bubalis (water buffalo), 2519 nucleotides. RefSeq lists it as uncharacterized. The transcript has 2 exons. NCBI's taxonomy places the organism in Eukaryota, Metazoa, Chordata, Mammalia, Artiodactyla, Bovidae. The record is from RefSeq and is a predicted model, not a curated record.